This 139-nucleotide ribosomal RNA is filed under the name Cyanobacteria bacterium HKST-UBA01. RNAcentral's name for it is "partial 16S ribosomal RNA". It matches the Rfam family "Bacterial small subunit ribosomal RNA", at positions 1396 to 1533 of the family's 1533-position model. The record is from RNAcentral. Lineage: Bacteria; Bacillati; Cyanobacteriota.
GUCACGUCAUGGAAGCUGGUCACGCCCGAAGUCGGUGUACUAACCCUCUGGGAGGUAGCCGCCUAAGGCAGGGCCGGUGACUGGGACGAAGUCGUAACAAGGUAGCCGUACCGGAAGGUGCGGCUGGAUCACCUCCUUU